CAAAGGAGCAAUCCGCUGAAAGAUGGGCUCGCGUCCGAUUAGGUAGUUGGUGAGGUAACGGCCCACCAAGCCGACGAUCGGUAGCCGGACUGAGAGGUUGGACGGCCACAUUGGGACUGAGACACGGCCCAGACUCCUACGGGAGGCAGCAGUAAGGGAUAUUGGUCAAUGGGGGAAACCCUGAACCAGCAACGCCGCGUGAGGGAAGACGGUUUUCGGAUUGUAAACCUCUGUCCUCUGUGAAGAUGAUGACGGUAGCAGAGGAGGAAGCUCCGGCUAACUACGUGCCAGCAGCCGCGGUAAUACGUAGGGAGCGAGCGUUGUCCGGAUUUACUGGGUGUAAAGGGUGCGUAGGCGGCUGUGCAAGUCAGUAGUGAAAUCCAUGGGCUUAACCCAUGAACUGCUAUUGAAACUGCACAGCUUGAGUGAAGUAGAGGUAGGCGGAAUUCCCGGUGUAGCGGUGAAAUGCGUAGAGAUCGGGAGGAACACCAGUGGCGAAGGCGGCCUACUGGGCUUUAACUGACGCUGAGGCACGAAAGCGUGGGUAGCAAACAGGAUUAGAUACCUUGGUAGUCCACGCUGUAAACGAUGAUUACUAGGUGUGGGGGGACUGAACCCUUCC
RNAcentral lists this ribosomal RNA (622 nucleotides) under uncultured bacterium. Its description in RNAcentral is "bacterial SSU rRNA". It matches the Rfam family "Bacterial small subunit ribosomal RNA", at positions 202 to 842 of the family's 1533-position model. The record is from RNAcentral.